AGAGUUUGAUCCUGGCUCAGGACGAACGCUGGCGGCAUGCCUAAUACAUGCAAGUCGAGCGAACUGACGGAGGAACUUGUUCCUCUUGACGUGAGCGGCGGACGGGUGAGUAACACGUGGGAAACCUACCUUUCAGCGGGGGAUAACGUUCGGAAACGGACGCUAAUACCGCAUAACGUUAACAGUCGCAUGAUUGUUAAAUAAAAGACGGCUCUGCUGUCACUGAAAGAUGGACCCGCGGUGCAUUAGUUAGUUGGUAAGGUAACGGCUUACCAAGACGAUGAUGCAUAGCCGACCUGAGAGGGUGAUCGGCCACACUGGGACUGAGACACGGCCCAGACUCCUACGGGAGGCAGCAGUAGGGAAUCUUCCGCAAUGGACGCAAGUCUGACGGAGCAAUGCCGCGUGUAUGAAGAAGGUCUCCGGAUCGUAAAGUACUGUUAUCAGCCAAGAACAAUUCACAGAGUAACUGUUGUGGAUCUGACGGUAACUGAUCAGAAAGCCACGGCUAACUACGUGCCAGCAGCCGCGGUAAUACGUAGGUGGCAAGCGUUGUCCGGAUUUAUUGGGCGUAAAGGGAGCGCAGGCGGUGACUUAAGUCUGAUGUGAAAGCCCACGGCUCAACCGUGGAAGGUCAUUGGAAACUGGGUCACUUGAAUGGAGCAGAGGAGAACGGAAUUCCAUGUGUAGCAGUGAAAUGCGUAGAUAUAUGGAGGAACACCAGUGGCGAAGGCGGUUCUCUGGGCUCACAUUGACGCUGAGGCUCGAAAGCGUGGGGAGCGAACAGGAUUAGAUACCCUGGUAGUCC
RNAcentral lists this ribosomal RNA (808 nucleotides) under uncultured bacterium. RNAcentral's name for it is "bacterial SSU rRNA". It matches the Rfam family "Bacterial small subunit ribosomal RNA", at positions 8 to 796 of the family's 1533-position model. The record is from RNAcentral.